GCGGCGGACGGGUGAGUAACACGUGGAUAACCUACCUAUAAGACUGGGAUAACUUCGGGAAACCGGAGCUAAUACCGGAUAAUAUUUUGAACCGCAUGGUUCAAAAGUGAAAGACGGUCUUGCUGUCACUUAUAGAUGGAUCCGCGCUGCAUUAGCUAGUUGGUAAGGUAACGGCUUACCAAGGCAACGAUGCAUAGCCGACCUGAGAGGGUGAUCGGCC
RNAcentral lists this ribosomal RNA (220 nucleotides) under Staphylococcus aureus. Its description in RNAcentral is "partial 16S ribosomal RNA". It matches the Rfam family "Bacterial small subunit ribosomal RNA", at positions 95 to 309 of the family's 1533-position model. The record is from RNAcentral. Lineage: Bacteria; Bacillati; Bacillota; Bacilli; Caryophanales; Staphylococcaceae.